Molecule: transfer RNA, 76 nt
Filed under: Acidobacteria bacterium 13_2_20CM_2_57_6
Lineage: Bacteria; Pseudomonadati; Acidobacteriota
Also listed under: 13 other names
Description: tRNA-Met
Rfam family: tRNA
About the family: Transfer RNA (tRNA) molecules are approximately 80 nucleotides in length. Their secondary structure includes four short double-helical elements and three loops (D, anti-codon, and T loops).
Source: RNAcentral
GGGCCCGUAGCUCAGCGGUUAGAGCAGCGGACUCAUAAUCCGUUGGUCCCAGGUUCAAAUCCUGGCGGGCCCACCA